This 138-nucleotide ribosomal RNA is filed under the name uncultured bacterium. Its description in RNAcentral is "partial 16S ribosomal RNA". It matches the Rfam family "Bacterial small subunit ribosomal RNA", at positions 355 to 509 of the family's 1533-position model. The record is from RNAcentral.
UAGGGAAUAUUGCUCAAUGGGGGAAACCCUGAAGCAGCAACGCCGCGUGGAGGAUGAAGGUUUUUAGGAUUGUAAACUCCUUUUGUUAGAGAAGAUUAUGACGGUAUCUAACGAAUAAGCACCGGCUAACUCCGUGCC